This 253-nucleotide ribosomal RNA is filed under the name uncultured bacterium. RNAcentral describes it as "partial 16S ribosomal RNA". It matches the Rfam family "Bacterial small subunit ribosomal RNA", at positions 524 to 776 of the family's 1533-position model. The record is from RNAcentral.
UACGUAGGGUGCAAGCGUUGUCCGGAAUUAUUGGGCGUAAAGGGUGCGUAGGCGGGUCUUUAAGUCAGGGGUGAAAUCCCGGAGCUCAACUCCAGAACUGCCUUUGAUACUGAGGAUCUUGAGUUCGGGAGAGGUGAGUGGAACUGCGAGUGUAGAGGUGAAAUUCGUAGAUAUUCGCAAGAACACCAGUGGCGAAGGCGGCUCACUGGCCCGAUACUGACGCCGAGGCACGAAAGCGUGGGGAGCAAACAGG